AGAGUUUGAUCCUGGCUCAGAUUGAACGCUGGCGGCAUGCCUUACACAUGCAAGUCGAACGGCAGCGGACCUUCGGGUGCCGGCGAGUGGCGAACGGGUGAGUAAUAUAUCGGAACGUACCUUUCAGUGGGGGAUAACGUAGCGAAAGUUACGCUAAUACCGCAUAUUCUGUGAGCAGGAAAGCAGGGGACCUUCGGGCCUUGCGCUGAUUGAGCGGCCGAUAUCAGAUUAGCUAGUUGGUGAGGUAAAGGCUCACCAAGGCGACGAUCUGUAGCGGGUCUGAGAGGAUGAUCCGCCACACUGGAACUGAGACACGGUCCAGACUCCUACGGGAGGCAGCAGUGGGGAAUUUUGGACAAUGGGCGCAAGCCUGAUCCAGCCAUGCCGCGUGAGUGAAGAAGGCCUUCGGGUUGUAAAGCUCUUUCGGCCGGGAAGAAAUCGUAUAGGUUAAUACCCUGUGCGGAUGACGGUACCGGCAUAAGAAGCACCGGCUAACUACGUGCCAGC
Molecule: ribosomal RNA, 507 nt
Filed under: uncultured Dechloromonas sp.
Lineage: Bacteria; Pseudomonadati; Pseudomonadota; Betaproteobacteria; Rhodocyclales; Azonexaceae
Description: bacterial SSU rRNA
Rfam family: Bacterial small subunit ribosomal RNA
Source: RNAcentral